This 246-nucleotide ribosomal RNA is filed under the name unidentified alpha proteobacterium groupC. RNAcentral describes it as "partial 16S small subunit ribosomal RNA". It matches the Rfam family "Bacterial small subunit ribosomal RNA", at positions 1106 to 1373 of the family's 1533-position model. The record is from RNAcentral. Lineage: Bacteria; Pseudomonadati; Pseudomonadota; Alphaproteobacteria.
CAUCUUUAGUUGCCAGCAGGUUAAGCUGGGCACUCUAGAGAAACUGCCCGUGAUAAGCGGGAGGAAGGUGUGGAUGACGUCAAGUCCUCAUGGCCCUUACGGGUUGGGCUACACACGUGCUACAAUGGCAGUGACAAUGGGUUAAUCCCAAAAAGCUAUCUCAGUUCGGAUUGGGGUCUGCAACUCGACCCCAUGAAGUCGGAAUCGCUAGUAAUCGCGUAACAGCAUGACGCGGUGAAUACGUUC